AAACCAACCGGGAUUGCCUCAGUAACGGCGAGUGAAGCGGCAAAAAGCUCAAAUUUGAAAUCUGGCACUUUCAGUGUCCGAGUUGUAAUUUGUAGAAGUAGUUUUGGGACUGGUCCUUAUCUAUGUUUCUUGGAACAGGACGUCAUAGAGGGUGAGAACCCCGUAUGAUGAGGCCCCCAGUCCUUUGUAAAACGCUUUCGAAGAGUCGAGUUGUUUGGGAAUGCAGCUCUAAGUGGGUGGUAAAUUCCAUCUAAAGCUAAAUAUUGGCGAGAGACCGAUAGCGAACAAGUACAGUGAUGGAAAGAUGAAAAGAACUUUGAAAAGAGAGUGAAAAAGUACGUGAAAUUGUUGAAAGGGAAGGGCAUUUGAUCAGACAUGGUGUUUUGCGCCCUUUGCUCCUUGUGGGCGGAGGAUACGCAGCUCACUGGGCCAACAUCAGUUUUGGGAGCAGGAUAAAUCUGUAGGAACGUAGCUUUCUUCGGGAAGUGUUAUAGCCUAUGGGAAUACUGCUACCUGGGA
This 519-nucleotide ribosomal RNA is filed under the name uncultured Hanseniaspora. RNAcentral describes it as "eukaryotic LSU rRNA". It matches the Rfam family "Eukaryotic large subunit ribosomal RNA", at positions 62 to 586 of the family's 3401-position model. The record is from RNAcentral. Lineage: Eukaryota; Fungi; Ascomycota; Saccharomycetes; Saccharomycodales; Saccharomycodaceae.